This 75-nucleotide transfer RNA is filed under the name Pseudomonas fluorescens. RNAcentral describes it as "tRNA-Arg". It matches the Rfam family "tRNA". Rfam says of the family: Transfer RNA (tRNA) molecules are approximately 80 nucleotides in length. The record is from RNAcentral. Lineage: Bacteria; Pseudomonadati; Pseudomonadota; Gammaproteobacteria; Pseudomonadales; Pseudomonadaceae.
GCACUCGUAGCUCAGCUGGAUAGAGUACGCGCUACGACCGAGCGGUCACAGGUUCGAAUCCUGUCGAGUGCACCA